This is a long non-coding RNA of Lynx canadensis (Canada lynx), 1987 nucleotides long. RefSeq lists it as uncharacterized. The record is from RefSeq and is a predicted model, not a curated record. Lineage: Eukaryota; Metazoa; Chordata; Mammalia; Carnivora; Felidae. The transcript is spliced from 8 exons.
CUGCUCUGAGUUUAGGCAUUCCAUCCAACAUCACUAGAUUGCAGAUUCUCUCAGAUGGAAGAGUAGAAAAAUAACGAAAGUUGCCCCUGACUCAAAAUCUUCCUUGAAAAAUGAUGGCAAGAAAACGGACUCGUUUGACCUUUCGAACGCCAGACAUACUCCACCGCGGUGCAUCUCUUCGGCUCGGGUGCCACUGCAGUGGACACGUGCCUUAGCAGUGACACCAUGAUGGGGAGUGCCGGUGCCUCUGCUACCAGCAAGGAUGGGUCCUCGGUGCCAGCCAAGAUCUGAUCCAACUCUAGUGUCCCACUCUAACACUGUUGGCUGUUGCCUCAGACUUAUCAUGCAGCUCCAUAGGCCCAAGAGAUGCAAUAAUGUAACAGACAUGAUCUUUUAAGUGUCCACGCAUCAGGAAUGGGGCAGGACGUGUUGGACAUGCCUUUCCUCUGCAAUGCCUGCGGCCUCAGGUGGAACACUCAAAGUCUGGAGGCAGAAAUCACCAGAAGAUUUACUCACAUACAUCUAGUGGUUGAUUCUGGCCUUGGGUCACAGAUCUGGCCAGUCCCAGGCUUCCUUACAUCAUAGCUCUGGAUUCUGAGCCGUUGCAUGGUUCUCUAAAUAACAGGCACGCGCGUAGAUCACAAUUGUUUGAUCCAUCAAGUGUAGACAUCUGUGGACCUCCUACCAAGAUAGCUGCCUGAUCUCCUUCCCACCUUUCUUCUCCCAUCCUAUCAGCAUAACUAUUAAAUCCAAGAAGGCAGAGGAGGAGAAGAAGAAAAGACAAAACCAUGGAUAUCUCAGAUGUUAAAAGAUCUUUCCAGUGGGCCGGUGUUGUAAAGGCCACAUGCGUCCACUCAUCUUCGCAGAGAGGAUGAAUUGGAACCAGCUCCAGAGGUGACGGGCUUGGUUUUCUGAGCACAAGAGCAAGUCAUCCUACCGCAACAGAACGGAAACUCCCGUCUAAGGUGAUACUUUCUGAAAGGCACUUUGAAAACAACCCCCCCCUAAAUCUCUUAUAAACCACAGCUGUUAAAAUCCAGAGGUACCCAGCUAGGUAUUAGAGAGUUCUUUCCAACACAGCUAAUAAAUGAGAGGCUGCAAUGAAGACCUCGGCGGGCAUCGCUGAAGCCUGGGAGUUGCGCUGUGACAGUCUGCUGGUGCCUGGCGACGACAGAGAUUAUCAGCGAAGCAUUGAAGGUUACGCCAGGAAUCGCAACAUUGCCACCUGCGCUCCGGCUGGGAAGAACGAGCCUGCCAGGAAAAGUCAUCGCAAAGUUUUACGUGAUUUCCUCAGUGCCAGAGGCUGGAGGACAUGAUGUGACGCGAGCCCCACCGCCCAGCUGCUCUUUGACCUUGGUCAUGAGUCAUCCUUCUCCCCGAACCUCGGCGUUUCACCAGCCGUGGGGUGGCGGUUGCCAUCACCUGCCCCCCUCACUUGAUCAUUAAGGGCUUUCACGAAUUUCAUUUUCACGCGGUGUUUUCGCAUCCUUGGCAGGGCGUUGCUACCUCGUGUAAGGAGAAAGCCGUUAUCAUUAUUGACCUCAGGGCCAAAAAAGGCUCCUUUUUCCGGCUUCCUUGCUUAUGAAGCCUUAGUAUCAAGCUGGUAUGAAGCUUUUCAUCACGCACACACAAAAAGCAGUCAAAAGGUCACCGUUUGGGAAUAUGAAUUUAUCGUCGCAGCUGCCUUCUGUGAAAGGCAACGUGCUUUCGCACAUGUAGCGGGUUACAGGGAAGGCUCGCUCCGAAGGUCCCCAGUACAGAUGGCCGGAGCUGGCCUCUGGCGGGCACUUCAUUAAACAGUCUCCCUUUGACCAACAGGCCUCAUUGUGAGGCAGCCCAGGCCUCAGCUGAUGUCAAAAGCCCCAUUCUACCCGGGGUGGAUUCUUCUCACAAAGCAUGCCCACACGCAUCCCGCGGCAGAUAGGGACGGGGCUAGCCCCACAGAUGUCACUGCCACCACCGCCGCUGUCACUUUUCUCCGUCACAC